This 253-nucleotide ribosomal RNA is filed under the name uncultured bacterium. RNAcentral describes it as "partial 16S ribosomal RNA". It matches the Rfam family "Bacterial small subunit ribosomal RNA", at positions 524 to 776 of the family's 1533-position model. The record is from RNAcentral.
UACGUAGGGUGCAAGCGUUGUCCGGAAUUAUUGGGCGUAAAGAGCUCGUAGGCGGUCUGUCGCGUCUGCUGUGAAAACUCGGGGCUUAACCCCGGGCCUGCAGUCGGUACGGGCAGACUAGAGUGCGGUAGGGGAGACUGGAAUUCCUGGUGUAGCGGUGAAAUGCGCAGAUAUCAGGAGGAACACCGGUGGCGAAGGCGGGUCUCUGGGCCGUAACUGACGCUGAGGAGCGAAAGCGUGGGUAGCGAACAGG